This is a non-coding RNA of Salmo salar (Atlantic salmon), 54 nucleotides long. Lineage: Eukaryota; Metazoa; Chordata; Actinopteri; Salmoniformes; Salmonidae. The record is from Rfam.
UGCAUUCACUACUGUAAGUCGCUCUGGAUAAGAGCGUCUGCUAAGUGAUGAAAA